RNAcentral lists this ribosomal RNA (460 nucleotides) under uncultured bacterium. RNAcentral describes it as "partial 16S ribosomal RNA". It matches the Rfam family "Bacterial small subunit ribosomal RNA", at positions 338 to 795 of the family's 1533-position model. The record is from RNAcentral.
CCUACGGGGGGCUGCAGUGAGGAAUAUUGGUCAAUGGACGCUAGCCUGAACCAGCCAAGUAGCGUGAAGGAUGACUGCCCUAUGGGUUGUAAACUUCUUUUAUAUGGGAAUAAAGUGCAGUAUGUAUACUGCUUUGCAUGUACCUUAUGAAUAAGGAUCGGCUAACUCCGUGCCAGCAGCCGCGGUAAUACGGAGGAUCCGAGCGUUAUCCGGAUUUAUUGGGUUUAAAGGGAGCGUAGGCGGGUUGUUAAGUCAGUUGUGAAAGUUUGCGGCUCAACCGUAAAAUUGCAGUUGAUACUGGCAGCCUUGAGUACAGUAGAGGUAGGCGGAAUUCGUGGUGUAGCGGUGAAAUGCUUAGAUAUCACGAAGAACUCCGAUUGCGAAGGCAGCCUGCUGGACUGUAACUGACGCUGAUGCUCGAAAGUGUGGGUAUCAAACAGGAUUAGAUACCCCUGUAGUC